Megalobrama amblycephala (Wuchang bream) is the source of this 462-nucleotide long non-coding RNA. RefSeq lists it as uncharacterized. The record is from RefSeq and is a predicted model, not a curated record. The transcript has 3 exons. NCBI's taxonomy places the organism in Eukaryota, Metazoa, Chordata, Actinopteri, Cypriniformes, Xenocyprididae.
GUUUAAAUGAGGAAGAAGUUAGCACCUGUUACGUUGCUCGUUACUGAGCACCAUUUCUGUGGAAGAUAUCUUGUUUGGAGAACGAGAAAACUAUUCGAUCGUUCCUGCACACUUUAAAUUACAAGGAUGGUUUGUAGCGUCAGCUGACAGCUCAGAGAGAGACCUGCUCCCAGGACGGACUGCAUCUCUGGCACCAGUGCCGUUUCCUCCAUGCUGAAGGACCGGAGACGUGCGGCUCCAGGGUCCCUGACAGUGCUGGAUAAUUGACACAUUUCCACAAGGCUUUGGUGACUCCCAUCUUCUGUCAGUGUCAUGUUAGAUACGGUAAGGAAGCCGCUUUGACUCACGUCUGCCUCGUAUCUCUCAUCCGUCUGUGAGUGUUACAUCAAGCUAAAUGAUUCUACAUCACCGCCUGAAUCACGAGCGUGUGCACAUCGUUCCCUCCGCCUCACCUCACGGCCG